AUUGAACGCUGGCGGCAUGCCUUACACAUGCAAGUCGAACGGCAGCGGGGGAGCUUGCUCCUGCCGGCGAGUGGCGAACGGGUGAGUAAUGCAUCGGAACGUGUCCUGUUGUGGGGGAUAACUGAUCGAAAGAUCAGCUAAUACCGCAUGAGACCUGAGGGUGAAAGCGGGGGAUCGCAAGACCUCGCGCGACAGGAGCGGCCGAUGUCUGAUUAGCUAGUUGGUGAGAUAAAAGCUUACCAAGGCGACGAUCAGUAGCUGGUCUGAGAGGAUGAUCAGCCACAUUGGGACUGAGACACGGCCCAGACUCCUACGGGAGGCAGCAGUGGGGAAUUUUGGACAAUGGGGGAAACCCUGAUCCAGCCAUGCCGCGUGCGGGAUGAAGGCCUUCGGGUUGUAAACCGCUUUUGUCAGAGACGAAAAGGGACGUACGAAUAAUACGUUCCGCUGACGGUAUCCGAAGAAUAAGCACCGGCUAACUACGUG
Molecule: ribosomal RNA, 486 nt
Filed under: uncultured bacterium
Lineage: Bacteria
Description: bacterial SSU rRNA
Rfam family: Bacterial small subunit ribosomal RNA
Source: RNAcentral